This 956-nucleotide non-coding RNA is filed under the name Trichomonas vaginalis G3. RNAcentral describes it as "Eukaryotic large subunit ribosomal RNA". It matches the Rfam family "Eukaryotic large subunit ribosomal RNA", at positions 245 to 1480 of the family's 3401-position model. The record is from Rfam by way of RNAcentral. Lineage: Eukaryota; Parabasalia; Trichomonadida; Trichomonadidae.
UACGAUGGACCGGGGAGAGUCGGAUACUUUGAGAGUAGUGUCUUAAGGGGGUGGUAUGUCCCAUCCAAGGCUAAAUAACGUGAGGAGACCGAUAGAUUACAAGUAGUGUGAACGAAAGAUGAAAAGAACUCUAAAACAGAGGGUGAAAAGUUCCUGAACUUGCUUAGGGUUAAGGCUAUUUAUAGUACCCGUCUUGAAACACGGAUUAGGGAGUUUAUCUGUAGUGCGAGUCUUUGCACGUUAACUGUAAAGGCGUAGAGAAAGCAACUGGCGUUUGCAUGGCUACUGAGCAUUACUGAUAGGACCCGAAAGGUGGUGAACUUUGCCUGCACAGGUUGAAGUCAGGGGAAACUCUGAUGGAGGACCGUACGGGUUAUUGAUGUGCAAAUCAUUUUUCUGAUGUAGGUAAAGGUGCGAAAGACUCAUCGAACCACCUAAUAGCUGGUUUCCUCCGAAGUUUCCCUCAGGAUAGCUGUAAUGCAUUUAGUUAAGGGGAGUAGAGAUAUGGGUAGAGGUGCAGGGAGCCUUCGGGUUCUCAACUUAUUUCCAAACUUCGAACCUCCUUGUUAGGCAUUUACCUAACUGGAAAUGCUUAAAUGAAUUAGCGUUACAAGUGGGCUCUGACCGGUAAGCGGUCAUGGCGAAAUGGGAUGAACCAUACGUCUGAAUAAGGUGCCGAAAUGUACUAUCACUGAUACCAUAAAGGGAGUCCAUGUAUUUAGACAGCAGGUCGGUGCCCCUAAAAGCAGGUAUCCGCUAAAGAGUGUGUUAAAACUCACCUGCCGAAUACUAGGGCCCCGAAAAUGAAUGGCGCAUAUAGUACUACCGAUCUCAGACAUCAGUUCUAUUGAACUGAGAGUAGGGGGAUGUGGACAUUUUUGUGAAGGUGCAAUGUGAGUUGGACUGGAAGAUGUCUAUUACAGAUCCUAAUUGAAGUAGCGAUUAUCCAGGCUUGU